Molecule: ribosomal RNA, 369 nt
Filed under: Triticum aestivum (bread wheat)
Lineage: Eukaryota; Viridiplantae; Streptophyta; Magnoliopsida; Poales; Poaceae
Description: partial small subunit ribosomal RNA
Source: RNAcentral
AUGCGGCUGCUGCUGCCAGGUCUGCACGACGUGGAGGUCCUGCAGAUGCGGUUGCUGCUCUGGCGGGCGAGGGGGAGUUCAAGCUGCCGGGCGACUUCAACUUCAUCUUCAUCUGCAGAUCAGGCGCGUACGAUUCGCUUGAUUCGGGUGGGAACAUUACAAUCAAGUGGGCACUGGAAUGAUCAUGUGAUGCACUGUUUGAAAUUAUCCACCAUUCAUCCUGCAACCGGACUGGCAAAUACUGCUGAAUAUGUUCAGAUGCAGAAAUUGGAACAAAGGAAAACAUCACAUGCUCCGACCAGAUUAAUUUCCAACUUAGCUGGAUGCCUAGUUAUGGGAAUCGACCAGAUUAAUUUCCAACUCAGCUAG